This 28-nucleotide small RNA is filed under the name Bombyx mori (domestic silkworm). RNAcentral describes it as "ovarian small RNA-9140". Lineage: Eukaryota; Metazoa; Arthropoda; Insecta; Lepidoptera; Bombycidae. The record is from RNAcentral.
UGUUAAUAACUCAAUCUGCAGUCAAUAA